RNAcentral lists this transfer RNA (75 nucleotides) under Stegodyphus dumicola. RNAcentral describes it as "tRNA-Ser". It matches the Rfam family "tRNA". Rfam says of the family: Transfer RNA (tRNA) molecules are approximately 80 nucleotides in length. Lineage: Eukaryota; Metazoa; Arthropoda; Arachnida; Araneae; Eresidae. The record is from RNAcentral.
GCCUUCGUGGUGUAGUGGUUCUGCACGCUGGGCCACUAUUCCAGAGGUCCGUGGGUUCGAUUCCCGGCGAAGGCG